UAUAAAAAAAUAAUUAUAAAAAUAGAUCUCUAAAUGCGGUGAAUGAUUCACCGUAUUUAUACCUCCUUAUUAAGAGUUAGAAAAAGAAUAAAAGCGGUAAAUCAUUUACCGCUUCUUUUCGAGAAAAAGAAAGAAAGCCGUGAAUGGUUGACCGCUUUUAAAAGCGGUGAAUCAUUAACCGCUUUUAUAAGACCAUAUUUAUAAAUAAAAAUUUAACAGGUCUAUUUUUAAAAUAAAAUUUUAGGAGAAAACUAUUGGAUUAAAAAAACCCUUUAAAUACUCAUAUUUUUAUUUUUUCCUAAUUUUUAAAAUUUUAUAUUUUAUCCCAACUCAACUUUAUCUACUAGCGUUAGAUAAAUCUCAAUACUAAACUAAACCUAAGAAAUAAUAAAAGAUACAAGCAUAUA
Molecule: long non-coding RNA, 407 nt
Filed under: Ananas comosus (pineapple)
Lineage: Eukaryota; Viridiplantae; Streptophyta; Magnoliopsida; Poales; Bromeliaceae
Description: long non-coding RNA (ACOM_LNC031697)
Source: RNAcentral